Molecule: ribosomal RNA, 432 nt
Filed under: uncultured bacterium
Lineage: Bacteria
Description: partial 16S ribosomal RNA
Rfam family: Bacterial small subunit ribosomal RNA
Source: RNAcentral
AACGAACGCUGGCGGCAGGCCUAACACAUGCAAGUCGAGCGAGGACUUCGGUCCUAGCGGCGGACGGGUGAGUAACGCGUGGGAACGUGCCCUUUGCUUCGGAAUAGCCCUGGGAAACUGGGAGUAAUACCGGAUGAGCCCUUUGGGGGAAAGUUUAUCGGGCAAGGAUCGGGCCGCGUUGGAUUUGGGAGGUGGUGGGGUAAUGGCCCACCAAGUCGACGAUUCCUAGCUGGUGUGAGAGGAUGAUCAGUCACACUGGGACUGAGACACGGCCCAGACUCCUACGGGAGGCAGCAGUGGGGAAUCUUAGACAAUGGGGGAAACCCUGAUCUAGCCAUGCCGCGUGAGCGAUGAAGGCCUUAGGGUUGUAAAGCUCUUUCAGCUGGGAAGAUAAUGACGGUACCAGCAGAAGAAGCCCCGGCUAACUCCGUG